UGGAGGGCAGCUCAGUGGAAGAGCACUUGCCUCACAUGCAUGAGACUUUGGGUUUCAUUCCCAGCACCACAG
This is a non-coding RNA of Ictidomys tridecemlineatus (thirteen-lined ground squirrel), 72 nucleotides long. The record is from Rfam. NCBI's taxonomy places the organism in Eukaryota, Metazoa, Chordata, Mammalia, Rodentia, Sciuridae.